AUUGAACGCUGGCGGCAGGCCUAACACAUGCAAGUCGAGCGGUAGAGAGGUGCUUGCAUCUCUUGAGAGCGGCGGACGGGUGAGUAAUGCCUAGGAAUCUGCCUAGUGGUGGGGGAUAACGUUCGGAAACGGACGCUAAUACCGCAUACGUCCUACGGGAGAAAGCGGGGGAUCUUCGGACCUCGCGCCAUUAGAUGAGCCUAGGUCGGAUUAGCUAGUUGGUGAGGUAAUGGCCCACCAAGCCGACGAUCUGUAGCUGGUCUGAGAGGACGACCAGCCACACUGGGACUGAGACACGGCCCAGACUCCUACGGGAGGCAGCAGUGGGGAAUUUUGGACAAUGGGCGCAAGCCUGAUCCAGCAAUGCCGCGUGCAGGAUGAAGGCCU
Molecule: ribosomal RNA, 387 nt
Filed under: uncultured bacterium
Lineage: Bacteria
Description: bacterial SSU rRNA
Rfam family: Bacterial small subunit ribosomal RNA
Source: RNAcentral